UUACAUAAUUAGGGUGUCAACAAGAUCACCAACGUUAGACUAGUCUUGUCAUUCCGAUCCUGACUAAACGUAAAACUUGUUUCGUUAGUCUUGUUAUUUCGACCCUAACUUAUCCUGUCAUUCACCGACAGCCUUAUCAUUUCGACCUGACUUAGUAUGUCAGACACACUCUGAUUUAAUCAAAACUCAUCUCACACUUCCAGCAGGUGAUCCGGUUCUGAUACCAAAUAUAACGACUUAGCCUGUCAUUCACCGGUUCUGAUACCAAAUGGCUAAAACCAUCGAUCCAAAAUAUUUAAGCCCAGUUAUUAUAAUUAGGUUGGAAUCUUUUUAUAUACCUAAUGAUAAUUCUAUUCCUAUCCGAUGCGGGACUAUUAGGGUGUCACAAUAAUAAAUUAGUUUUAAUAUAUUGUCUACGAUCUCGUAAAAAGUAUAUAAUUAUAUUUUAUAUAUGUUUUCAUGAACUUUUUAAUAUCAGAUCGACUAAUUAGAAAAUAUCCUUAACCUUUUAUUUACCAAACACUAUAGAUACUGAAGUGUUAUCCGAAUUUGAAUUCGAAUUGGGCGGAUUUAUCUGAUGCUAGAUAUGAUUUCAUAUAUAUAUAUAUAUAUAUAUAUAUAUAUAUAUAGAACUUAGACCAAAUUUGGAUUUGGAUAUAGAUUUUGUUCCUAUUCGACAAAAAUUCGAGCCCGACACAAAUCCGAAUUAAUUUUACAGUAUGUAAUAUAAAUUAAUAUUUGAUAUUAUAUUUGCAAAUGUAUUUUGAAAACUUAAAUUUUCUUAUAAUAUAUUUUAAAAUUUGUAAAGAAAAAUAAUUAUUUCAGAUUCAAAUUUCAGAUUUUGCAUGGAAUUCGAAUUUUAAAACCAAUUUUCAAAAUCCAUAGGAAUUAAAUUACAGAUUGAUUUUGAUUUUUGAAAAAUUUGUUCCAAAUCCAAUCCGUCUGAGUUCCAAAUAAAUUAUUAUUAUUAUUAUUAUUAUUUUGCAUGAACUGCU
Molecule: long non-coding RNA, 995 nt
Filed under: Ananas comosus (pineapple)
Lineage: Eukaryota; Viridiplantae; Streptophyta; Magnoliopsida; Poales; Bromeliaceae
Description: long non-coding RNA (ACOM_LNC017105)
Source: RNAcentral